UCCGUUGUGACAAUGCAUGGUGUCUUGC
This 28-nucleotide non-coding RNA is filed under the name Rattus norvegicus (Norway rat). Lineage: Eukaryota; Metazoa; Chordata; Mammalia; Rodentia; Muridae. The record is from RNAcentral.